Molecule: long non-coding RNA, 419 nt
Filed under: Pogona vitticeps (central bearded dragon)
Lineage: Eukaryota; Metazoa; Chordata; Lepidosauria; Squamata; Agamidae
Description: lncRNA (ENSPVIG00000021255.1)
Source: RNAcentral
GAAGCAACUUCAUCUCUAUGGACACAGUGCCUGGGAUGUUCUCCCCCACCCCACUCCUGAGCCCCACUGAAAUGAAGGGGAGCUGACAGAGAACAGUACCCAGCACAGCUUGCUGCUCAUUUCAAUAGGGCGUGUGCAGGGGGACAGCCCAGUGGAUCGUGUCCAGUGCAUUUGUAGGAUUAGGAAGAAUGCUUGCAGAAAUGCCCUUGAAUAAGGCUCCUAGAAGCUUCACCGGACUGCCAUUGAUCCUCAGAGAGACUCCCUUCUUGUUGCUGCCACAGUAGGUGAAGAGGAGAUUGCUCUGGCCAAUCAUCUGCAUGGAAAAUCCGACAUGAAUGGCCAAAUUAACUUCCAGUGUGGGAGAGAAAAGUGGGACAAUUAUGCCAAAUUUUGACAGGAAGGGCUGCUAGCUAAACUUU